UCAUUUCUGGUUUAAUGUUGGAGAAUGUCAGUUUGUCGUGCUGGAGGUGAUAGUUUUAUCGAAGUGGG
This 68-nucleotide transfer RNA is filed under the name Ogmocotyle sikae. Its description in RNAcentral is "tRNA-Asp". The record is from RNAcentral. Lineage: Eukaryota; Metazoa; Platyhelminthes; Trematoda; Plagiorchiida; Notocotylidae.